UAACGCGUGAGAAUCUGGCUUCAGGUUCGGGACAACCACUGGAAACGGUGGCUAAUACCGGAUAUGCAGAAAUGUGAAAGUUUAAAUGCCUGAAGAUGAGCUCGCGUCUGAUUAGCUAGUAGGCAGUGUAAUGGACUACCUAGGCGACGAUCAGUAGCUGGUCUGAGAGGAUGAUCAGCCACACUGGGACUGAGACACGGCCCAGACUCCUACGGGAGGCAGCAGUGGGGAAUUUUCCGCAAUGGGCGAAAGCCUGACGGAGCAAUACCGCGUGAGGGAGGAAGGCUCUUGGGUUGUAAACCUCUUUUCUCAAGGAAGAACACAAUGACGGUACUUGAGGAAUAAGCAUCGGCUAACUCCGUGCCAGCAGCCGCGGUAAUACGGAGGAUGCAAGCGUUAUCCGGAAUGAUUGGGCGUAAAGCGUCCGCAGGUGGCUUUGUAAGUCUGCUGUUAAAGAGUGAGGCUCAACCUCAUAAAAGCAGUGGAAACUACAUAGCUUGAGUACGUUCGGGGCAGAGGGAAUUCCUGGUGUAGCGGUGAAAUGCGUAGAGAUCAGGAAGAACACCGGUGGCGAAAGCGCUCUGCUAGGCCGUAACUGACACUGAGGGACGAAAGCUAGGGGAGCGAAUGGG
Molecule: ribosomal RNA, 632 nt
Filed under: uncultured cyanobacterium
Lineage: Bacteria; Bacillati; Cyanobacteriota
Description: bacterial SSU rRNA
Rfam family: Bacterial small subunit ribosomal RNA
Source: RNAcentral